Molecule: ribosomal RNA, 309 nt
Filed under: Sergentomyia adleri
Lineage: Eukaryota; Metazoa; Arthropoda; Insecta; Diptera; Psychodidae
Description: SSU rRNA
Rfam family: Eukaryotic small subunit ribosomal RNA
Source: RNAcentral
AAGGCUCAGUACAACAGCUAUUAUUUAUUUGAUCAUAAACAUAGUUACUUGGAUAACUGUGGUAAUUCCAGAGCUAAUACAUGCAAACAACAUGGAUCCCUGCAGCAAUGUGGGUGAAACAUGUGCUUUUAUUAGAUUAAAACCAUAUCCAUUUUACGAUGGAUUUGUUUUAGAUGAAUCUGGAUAAUUAUGGCUGAUCGUAUGGUCUUGCACCGACGAUAGAUCAUUCAAAUGUCUGCCCUAUCAACUAUUGAUGGUAGUAUAGAGGACUACCAUGGUUGCAACGGGUAACGGGGAAUCAGGGUUCGA